Long non-coding RNA from Acyrthosiphon pisum (pea aphid), 759 nucleotides. RefSeq lists it as uncharacterized. Lineage: Eukaryota; Metazoa; Arthropoda; Insecta; Hemiptera; Aphididae. The transcript is spliced from 3 exons. The record is from RefSeq and is a predicted model, not a curated record.
CACGACGGCGACGUUGCGUAGUCUGUCACUCUGUCAUUCGUUAAAAAAUCGUGUAGUGUGUGUAGUGUGUAGUGUUGUUUUUUUCUUUUGGUCAACGUAUCUAACUAUUUUCUAAGUAUUUUCGUACUAUUUUCUAACAUAAAAUGGAAAAAACGUUUAAUGAGAAAUUAAACAAUUUACUAUUAAACAAAAACGCAAAUGCUGUGUUUUUAAAUAAAAUUUAUUAAAAAAUACGGUGUUGUAAAUAAAUCAAGGAUUGACAAAUUAGUAGUUCCAGUAUCCCAAGUGGUUUGUUGUAUACUUUUUUCAAUGAUAUGAAUUUGAAUGAAUGCAAGGUGCUGCAGAUUAUUCAGUAAUACCGAAAUCCUGGUUAACUGUAGUUGAUCAUAAGUAUUUUUGCAAAUGGCCCAAAACAAAAAAAGUUACUUAAAAUAUUUUACACAAAGGAGAAAAUGUACCUACAGGAAACUAUUGACAUAUAAUUUAUUCUCGGUUAAUUUAUGUUUCAACGGAGUUCCAUUUGAUAAUUUUGAAAUGGCUCAAAGGAAACUACAAUACAUUAUGGAUUCUGAAUCAGAAUCUGGUUUAAUUAAUUUAGAGAGAGAGGUAAAAGAAAAAAAACAAAGGCAACUAAUUUUGAUGAAUGACCAGUUGAGAUAAUGGUAUGCAUUUAAAAGUAAAUAUUCAUUAUGAUUUUAAUAUAUAGAUUUAAUUUAUUAAGAAUCAGAUAAUAGAUGUUCAAAUAAUAUUGUUGGAAAC